Molecule: ribosomal RNA, 909 nt
Filed under: marine metagenome
Description: bacterial SSU rRNA
Rfam family: Bacterial small subunit ribosomal RNA
Source: RNAcentral
AGAGUUUGAUCCUGGCUCAGGACGAACGCUGGCGGCGUGCUUAACACAUGCAAGUCACGGGGGCCCGCAAGGGUAACCGGCGAACGGGUGCGUAACACGUGAGCAAGCUUCCGAUCUGUGGGGGAUAGCCGGCCCAACGGCCGGGUAAUACCGCAUACGUUCACCGGACGGCAUCGUCUGGUGAGGAAACCUCCGGGGCAGAUCGAGGUGCUCGCGGCCUAUCAGCUAGUUGGCGGGGUAACGGCCCACCAAGGCGACGACGGGUAGCUGGUCUGAGAGGAUGGCCAGCCACAUUGGGACUGCGACACGGCCCAGACUCCUACGGGAGGCAGCAGUGGGGAAUAUUGCGCAAUGGACGAAAGUCUGACGCAGCGACGCCGCGUGUGGGAUGAAGCCUUUCGGGGCGUAAACCACUGUUGCCCGGGACGAACCUCCCCUUUCGAGGGGACUGACGGUACCGGGUGAGGAAGCACCGGCUAACUCUGUGCCAGCAGCCGCGGUAAUACAGAGGGUGCGAGCGUUGUCCGGAAUCACUGGGCGUAAAGGGCGCGUAGGUGGCUGGGUAAGCGUGUGGUGAAAGUCCGGGGCUCAACCCCGGAUCUGCCGUGCGAACUGCCGAGCUUGAGCGAUGUAGAGGCAGGUGGAAUUUCGGGUGUAGCGGUGGAAUGCGUAGAGAUCCGAAAGAACACCAGUGGCGAAGGCGGCCUGCUGGGCAUCCGCUGACACUGAGGCGCGACAGCGUGGGGAGCAAACAGGAUUAGAUACCCUGGUAGUCCACGCCGUAAACGAUGGGUACUAGGUGUCUGGGGGAGCGACCCCCUGGGUGCCGGCGCUAACGCAUGAAGUACCCCGCCUGGGGAGUACGGCCGCAAGGCUGAAACUCAAAGGAAUUGACGGGGGCCCGCACAA